Molecule: non-coding RNA, 19 nt
Filed under: Arabidopsis thaliana (thale cress)
Lineage: Eukaryota; Viridiplantae; Streptophyta; Magnoliopsida; Brassicales; Brassicaceae
Source: RNAcentral
AAUCCACCGGUUCACCUGC